This is a long non-coding RNA of Cornus florida, 579 nucleotides long. RefSeq lists it as uncharacterized. The transcript has 3 exons. The record is from RefSeq and is a predicted model, not a curated record. Lineage: Eukaryota; Viridiplantae; Streptophyta; Magnoliopsida; Cornales; Cornaceae.
UACGGGCUACCCCUUCAAAGGAGAUCAUACCCAAAACCCCUCCGUGGCAGGGGAGCCAUAUCGUGAGAUGAAGCUGGUGAACGGAGGCUUCUGCUGCAUCAGAUUUGACGUACCGGUCUAACCACAAAGGAUCUGAGUGUGUGGAUGGACGAUUUUGGCGGUAUAAGGUUUGGGGGAAAGUGCCAGAAUGAGCCCAAGUAUGAGGAGGAGGGAAGGUUCUAUGGAGCCACCAUUCCACCAUGUCCUAUGGUCUUACAAAUGGACCAAGUCAAGGCUGAGUUGAAACAUGGUGUUCUCUGGGUUACUCUCCCACUUACCCAACUUGCCAAGGAGCCAAGAAUGUUCCAAAUGUUGCAGAAAAGGUGCGUGUGGCAGGUGCGAGAAGAAGCUAACUAACCGUCAAUUAGAUUGGAUCCUCCUCAGCUUCGCCACCUCCUCUUUGAGUAAAUCAUGUUAAUGGCCGAACUGCAGAUGUUUCACUAGUGGUCGCUCUGAGAAGUUCACACUGUGACUUGGGCGGCUGAAAUUACAAUCCUUCAUCGGACAGUAGACUCUCUUCCUGGUCACAUCCACCCGACC